GAUGAAGAACGCAGCGAAAUGCGAAAAGUAAUGUGAAUUGCAGAAUUCAGUGAAUCAUCGAAUCUUUGAACGCACAUUGCGCCCGCUGGUACUCCGGCGGGCACGCCUGUCCGAGCGUCAUUUCAACCAUCAAGCCCCAGGCUUGCGUUGGAGCCCUGCGGCUGCCGCAGCCUCCUAAAAGCAGUGGCGGGCUCGCUAUCACACCGAGUGCAGUAGAUUACUCUUCGCUCAGGGCGUGCAGCGGGUUCCGGCCGUGAAACCCCCUACUUUUAAAGGUUGACCUCGGAUCAGGUAGGAAUACCCGCUGAACUUAAGCAUAUCAAUAAGCGGAGGA
This 334-nucleotide unclassified non-coding RNA is filed under the name soil metagenome. RNAcentral's name for it is "partial contains 5.8S ribosomal RNA, internal transcribed spacer 2, and large subunit ribosomal RNA". The stretch from base 1 to 120 matches the Rfam family "5.8S ribosomal RNA", at positions 35 to 154 of the family's 154-position model. The record is from RNAcentral.